CAGGGGCAAGUGCUCUGGGCGUCUGGUGCCUGUGUGCUCAGAUGUUUCCCAUUUUGAGCGUCUAUAAAAGAGCAAAAUGAGCUGAAGAGCCAACAUUUGUGCUACAAAAACAUGUCAUAUCAACAACAGCAACCUUUUCCCCAGAGAAAAUUAGGUUGUAUAUAUGUGUAUGUGUUUUUUCUGUUUUUUUCCUGGGGGCGGAAGUGUUGCAUUUUAAUGCCUGAUUUUGGCACUGGGUGCAGAAAAAUAGUUUUGAGAUGCCAAUGGCCAAAUUUUCCUCCAUCCCAUCUCAGCAAAACUCAAGUUUAUGUUUAAAUUUCUUGCAACCGAGUUACAUACACAGUGCAUGAGGGCGGCUGUUCAAAAUGUACACAUUUAUAGCUCCACUGUGUUUUAUCCCCUUUGCAAAAGAGAACUGAGACAUAAACACCACCCCCGGCUGACUGCACACAAGGAGAGUACCAGAGAGGCUGCGUCACUGGACCACCAUCAAACAGCCAGCUGAAAGCAGAAAGGUGCUUUGGAGUCUCUCCAGAACAAAGGCAACAGACCCUGAAGAAAGUCUGAAGGGAAUGGCAUGGGCUCAGGUCAACGAGGGACUGAGGAGGUCUUGCUUCACCCAUUUGGAGACCUGAAAUUCUUCUGGGGAGAGUCAGCCAUUGGGUUUUGAUGAAAUUUCCUGAAGGUGGUGGAGCUUGAGAUUCUUAGGAUGUGUAAAGGGUGAAAGGGCUCUGUGCCCAAAGAAGUUUGGGAAAUGCUGAUUGAAACAAACAGACUUUUCUAUCUUGCAGGACUUCUCAGAGCCUUUAAUGUGCUAAUGAUCCAAGAUGUGCUGUGGGGGCAUCAGUUGUAGCCUUUAGGAUUUCCCAGCCCCACAGACUAGGGAAAUAAGUUCACCAAGCCCUUAAUAGGGGUCUGUAGACACAAUUGGUAAAAUACUAGACUGUGACAGUGAUGUGUUUAGAAAAGUGUGUUUCCUUGGGGAGGAGUAAAAUAUUAUACCGAUAUUGGUUAAAUCCUCCAGAAUGCAAAGUGGUUUGCAAAAUUUAGCUUUAAAUCAUCUGGAAGGCUCAGAGGAAAUGGGACACAGCAGAGGUAAAUUUUGAUUAGAAGAGCAGAGGGAAGUGAAACCACCUUACAAC
Bubalus bubalis (water buffalo) is the source of this 1142-nucleotide long non-coding RNA. RefSeq lists it as uncharacterized. Lineage: Eukaryota; Metazoa; Chordata; Mammalia; Artiodactyla; Bovidae. The record is from RefSeq and is a predicted model, not a curated record. The transcript is spliced from 2 exons.